GUCGGAAUUGCUGUAAUCGCGGAUCAGCAUGCCGCGGUGAAUACGUUCCCGGGCCUUGUACACACCGCCCGUCACGCCAUGGGAGCCGGUAAUACCCGAAGUCAGUAGUCCAACCUCGUGAGGACGCUGCCGAAGGUAGGAUUGGCGACUGGGGUGAAGUCGUAACAAGGUACC
RNAcentral lists this ribosomal RNA (174 nucleotides) under uncultured bacterium. Its description in RNAcentral is "partial 16S ribosomal RNA". It matches the Rfam family "Bacterial small subunit ribosomal RNA", at positions 1325 to 1500 of the family's 1533-position model. The record is from RNAcentral.